This 492-nucleotide ribosomal RNA is filed under the name uncultured bacterium. RNAcentral's name for it is "partial 16S ribosomal RNA". It matches the Rfam family "Bacterial small subunit ribosomal RNA", at positions 29 to 507 of the family's 1533-position model. The record is from RNAcentral.
AGUGAACGCUGGCGGUAGGCCUAACACAUGCCAGUCGAACGGCAGCACAGUAAGAGCUUGCUCUUACGGGUGGCGAGUGGCGGACGGGUGAGGAAUACAUCGGAAUCUACUUUUUCGUGGGGGAUGACGUAGGGAAACUUACGCUAAUACCGCAUACGACCUACGGGUGAAAGCAGGGGAUCUUCGGACCUUGCGCGAUUGAAUGAGCCGAUGUCGGAUUAGCUAGUUGGCGGGGUAAAGGCCCACCAAGGCGACGAUCCGUAGCUGGUCUGAGAGGAUGAUCAGCCACACUGGAACUGAGACACGGUCCAGACUCCUACGGGAGGCAGCAGUGGGAAAUAUUGGACAAUGGGCGCAAGCCUGAUCCAGCCAUACCGCGUGGGUGAAGAAGGCCUUCGGGUUGUAAAGCCCUUUUGUUGGGAAAGAAAAGCAGCAGGUUAAUACCCCGCUGUUCUGACGGUACCCAAAGAAUAAGCACCGGCUAACUUCGUG